AAACGUAAUUAGAAAGGAUGCUUUUUGACCUUGAUCUCACCGAAGAGAAGGGAAUGUGUACUAACCCUAGAUCUGCAAGUGGUUGCAAAAAUAGAAAUAGAGUGCUUGCUUACAAUGUAUGAGAGAAGCAACCAAUAGUACUGAAAAAUAUCUGGAGUAAUUUGCAUCUUAUGUGAAAUACGAAUUUACUUUUACAUUGCAAGAAGCAGAGUUUGCUUGUUUGUUUGUUUUCCCUCGACCUCUCAGGUCAGCACAUUUUAAGAUCAUUGCUUAUGUGGGAAAAGGUGACCUAGAUGGUUUUGCAGGUCCUUUUCCCCAGCAGUAUGAUGCAAUGUUUUUAAACUACGUGAACCCUUUUCUGGAAUAUACCUCUUUAGAGAAUAACCAGGCUCAAUAGUUAAACAUUACUGAUUGGGGCCAGAGUGAAAAAAAAAAAAAAAAAGCUCAUUCUUUAAAAAAUAAUCUCUUGAGUCCUUUAGUCUCUGUGGGAAUGCAGUGUUUCAGCAAUAACAUUUGCCUGACAGUUAAUGAUCAGCUGGGGAAAUAUACAGUCCAGGGUAAAUUUGAGGUCCUUUAAGUCAGUCAGUUAUUUAUUAAAGAGAAAUAUCCAGCCAAAAGGCAUCCAUACUGUCGUGUUAAAUACUGCUUUGAAAAAUGAAAUGGCACGUUUUCCUUCAGACAGGCUCUCAGAGGACUUCUACGUGCAUGAUCUUGUUUAUUCCUUCUGUCAAUCUGGGGAAGAGGGAUGGCCAGAUGAUGUUAUUUCACAAAGGCUGUCAUGAGGGUCCGUGGGGUGGCUGGUGGCUGGAGGUCAAUGACUGGCAGGCAGACCAAGACUAGGAUGUCUCCUGACUCCUGGCCUGCUGUGGUUUCCACUGGAGCACAUUCUUUCUCAACCAGAGAUGUUGUGAUGUACUGCACGGUACUUGAUUGCAGCAGUCAUGGGUUAUUUGUGACAUUAAUAACCAUGGUAUCCUUCGCCUUGCUGGGGCCCUUAUGUGUGUAGUGAGGUUUGUAAUAUAACUUUUCAAAAUGGAAGAAAGCAUUUAAAACAUCCUUGGAGGGAAAAGAAGCACAGGCAGACUCUGAUAAUCCCACUUUCUCAUUUGUCAUACCUCUAAAAGAAACCUCAAGUCAAGGUGAAAUCAUUUUACUGAUGCGAUGGCUGCUGUCUGUCACAUUUCAAGUAAAGUCUAUGCCAUAUGUCUGGUUCAAACAUCAUCUUGAGACUAGCCAUUGACCUUUUAAACUUUUGGCAUCAUCAUCCAGUAAGGACAAGCAGCAAACUUAGGCAUACAGGCAAAAAUAUAGAAAUAUAUAUAUAUUGAAGCAUGUUUCCUGACCCUGGACAAAAUCCAGUGAGUAAUUUAUAUUCUCAAUGUUACUUGUGGGUGUACAUAUGUACACUUAUAUAAUAAUCUCCAGAAUUACUAUCUGACACCCCUGUAUCUGCCUUCUACAUAUGCAGUGUCUUUUCUUUUCCUCUGGUCUUGAAGGAGCAGAAUUCUACCCCCUCCUCCUUUGUGACUUUAAGCAAGUCAUUUAGUUUUUCUAACUUUCAUUGGCCGCCAGGUGAUAUGUGCGUUGCUUAGCAUUAAGAUUUUGUUGUGACUGUAGUUUUCUAGAACUUUUAUUCAUUUGGAAAGUUUGUUAACCAAAUUAUUUUUUGCGUAUAUACUAUAUGGCCAGCAGACAGCAUGCCAGCUCUCAGCCAAACAGCCUGGUUCAGAUGCUCAGGGAGCACAUACCCUCUGGGUGAAGGGGGAGGUUCCUUAAAUAAUUUCUGAAUGUCAGCUGUGAAAAGUGUUUCAGGAGGGUUUGUAAUAGAGAUCGCUUUCAUGUGAUUGUGUGAGUGUGUGUAACAGAGAAGUGGCCUGUGACUCGUUCAAACUUAGUUGACGCCGAGUUCUUUCCCCCUUUUGCUGUGAUCUGCAUCCCCUGAGUUCUUAACUCUUCCUUGACUGAUUUUGAUAACUUCUUAACGAGUUUCCCUUUUGGCUCUUACCCACUACAGUCCAGAUUCACACAGUUGCUAGAUUACCUGUUUAAAAUAGAAAUCAAACCAUCUCUCACUCUCUUGCUUGCGACUUUCAUGCAAGAUUUCUCUUCUCCACCCUGACAUUCAAAGCCUUCUAAUCAUUUGGUCCAAAAUUUUUCAUGUAGCCUCACUUCUCCUCCUUCUUCUCAAGAGCUAUCCAUCAGGGAUCUAGAGCAAGGCACCUGUAAUUCGAUGAGAGGGCAGUCUGGCUGAGCUCGAGUGUGAAAGUCAUUCAUUCUGAUUUACUUCUUAAAGACAAGAUGGACAGACUCCCCCAAAACAAGGGGCAUCCUGGGAAAUGUCUACAGCUAAGGGAUAAGAAGAAACAGUUGGCCAGAUCAAAGGAGUGUAAACUAGUGUAGCAUCAUCAAAGCCCAAGAAAAUGGAAUUUCAAGAGAGGGUGAACUACAGAGGGGAAUGAAGGAGAAAGAACUGAGAAAAGUAUCCUGGAUUUGCAGAUAUAGAGAUCAUUUGAAUCAUUAAUUGCAGACACGUAAUGACAGAUUAUACUGCUUCUAAAAAACAGUCUUCUGAAUAACACUCAUUCAGAGAAUAUAAUAAGCAUAAUGUGAUAUCAGAAAAAAAAAUAACCACCUCUCAGAUUAGGGAAAAAGCCCUCUUCCUAGAAU
RNAcentral lists this long non-coding RNA (2667 nucleotides) under Sus scrofa (pig). RNAcentral describes it as "lncRNA (ENSSSCG00015058261.1)". The record is from RNAcentral. Lineage: Eukaryota; Metazoa; Chordata; Mammalia; Artiodactyla; Suidae.